CCAUUUUGUCUCGGCAGCGGUGGCCGUAGCUCCAUCGCAUUUUAUGUUUCUGGCGAGAAGGGAACGGAGUUUUCAUCAGGUAGAUUGGUUUUUGUGCGGCCGUCCUCCACCGUUUCCUCCAGGACAGCACCUAGUCGUGGCCGGAGGAGUCUCAGAGCUGUCAGAAAGAAUAAGACUGAUUUUAUGGGAAAAUUAAGCAAAUGCUCCAGUUUGAGAAACCUGGAUCUGCGAUCUGUUUGUGGUCUCUAUGAAUAAAGAAAAGCAAAUAGAAUCUUAUCAGAUAAGUGCUUUUAUAAGUCUAAAUAUAUUCUUUGGAAUCUCUAAAGCAAAACUUUUAAACUUUUUUUUUUUUUUUUUUUAGGUACCAGCAUCAAGAUGAUUUAUGGUAAUAAGAUAUAAAACCAAGGAAAAUAACCUAAAGUCUGAAAAAGACCAGAAUCGAAGUUUCCUGAUUCAUAUUUUAAUGUUUUGAAAUUUAUACUCCAGGCUGGGUGCAGUGGCUUGUGCCUGUAAUCCCAGCACUUUGGGAGGCCGAGGCGGCCGGAUUGCCUGAAGUCAGAAGUUCAAGACCAGCCUGACCAACACGGUGAAACCCUGUCUCUACUUAAAAAUACGAAAGAGCUGGGCAUGGAGGUGGUGCGCGCCUGUAACCCUAGCUACUCGGGAGGCUGAGGCCUAAGAAUCUCUUGAACCCAGGAGGCAGAGGUUGUAGUGAGCCGGGAUCACGCCACUGCACUCUAGCCUGGGCGACAGAGAGAGAGACUGUCUUAAAAAAAAAAAAAAAAAAAAAGGAAAAGAAAAAAAUUUAUACGCCAAAAAAGAUAUUCUGAGAUAACCUGUAGUUACCACUAACUUUGUGACAAAAUUAUAAAAAUCCACAGCCAUCUAUGAAUCUGUAGGCAGACCUGAAGUUU
Molecule: non-coding RNA, 914 nt
Filed under: Pan troglodytes (chimpanzee)
Lineage: Eukaryota; Metazoa; Chordata; Mammalia; Primates; Hominidae
Source: RNAcentral